CCCAACAAGUUUAAUUUAUUAAAAUAAAUUUUAUACGUUUAGGUUGCGGGGAUCUAGAAAAUCUUACCUUUGGAAGCGAAUCUCGGAAUUACAUAAAUUGAUGGUAGAUAUUCAGACUGCUCAUGCUAAGUUGAGCAGUCAAGACGGAAACAGCCGAGAACACUGAUCAAGGUCCCAAAUGAUUGUUAAGUGAAAUUAAGGACGUAGCAAUAUCGUAUACAGCUGUGAAGUGAGCCUGGCAGUCGCUACUUAUAAUGAUCGUACGUAACAACGCAUCAGCAGUAUUUUAUAAAAUUAUAAAAAUGAUAGUAGCGCCGAAAAUUUAACGGGUCUAAAACAAUCAACCGAUAUCGUGUUGGUUUUAUUAAAAAUAUUUUUAAUAGAAUCUAGGUAGUAGAACAUUCAGUUUAACUGUUAAUUAAAUAGUGUUUCAUU
RNAcentral lists this ribosomal RNA (435 nucleotides) under Galerina stordalii. RNAcentral describes it as "partial 28S ribosomal RNA". The stretch from base 15 to 373 matches the Rfam family "Bacterial large subunit ribosomal RNA", at positions 865 to 1226 of the family's 2925-position model. The record is from RNAcentral. Lineage: Eukaryota; Fungi; Basidiomycota; Agaricomycetes; Agaricales; Galerinaceae.